UGAGUUACGCUCUAUAACCCUUUGUGAACAUACCUAUAACUGUUGCUUCGGCGGGUAGGGUCUCCGUGACCCUCCCGGCCUCCCGCCCCCGGGCGGGUCGGCGCCCGCCGGAGGAUAACCAAACUCUGAUUUAACGACGUUUCUUCUGAGUGGUACAAGCAAAUAAUCAAAACUUUUAACAACGGAUCUCUUGGUUCUGGCAUCGAUGAAGAACGCAGCGAAAUGCGAUAAGUAAUGUGAAUUGCAGAAUUCAGUGAAUCAUCGAAUCUUUGAACGCACAUUGCGCCCGCCAGCAUUCUGGCGGGCAUGCCUGUUCGAGCGUCAUUUCAACCCUCAAGCUCUGCUUGGUGUUGGGGCCCUACAGCUGAUGUAGGCCCUCAAAGGUAGUGGCGGACCCUCCCGGAGCCUCCUUUGCGUAGUAACUUUACGUCUCGCACUGGGAUCCGGAGGGACUCUUGCCGUAAAACCCCCAAUUUUCCAAAGGUUGACCUCGGAUCAGGUAGGAAUACCCGCUGAACUUAAGCAUAUCAAUAAGCGGAGGAAAAGAAACCAACAGGGAUUGCCUCAGUAACGGCGAGUGAAGCGGCAACAGCUCAAAUUUGAAAUCUGGCCCUAGGCCCGAGUUGUAAUUUGCAGAGGAUGCUUUUGGUGCGGUGCCUUCCAAGUUCCCUAGAACGGGACGCCAGAGAGGGUGAGAGCCCCGUACAGUUGGACACCAAGCCUUUGUAAAGCUCCUUCGACGAGUCGAGUAGUUUGGGAAUGCUGCUCAAAAUGGGAGGUAUAUUUCUUCUAAAGCUAAAUACCGGCCAGAGACCGAUAGCGCACAAGUAGAGUGAUCGAAAGAUGAAAAGCACUUUGAAAAGAGGGUUAAACAGCACGUGAAAUUGUUAAAAGGGAAGCGCUUGUGACCAGACUUGCGUCCGGUGAAUCACCCAGCUCUCGCGGCUGGGGCACUUCGCCGGCUCAGGCCAGCAUCAGCUCGCUGUCGGGGACAAAAGCUUCAGGAACGUAGCUCUCUUCGGGGAGUGUUAUAGCCUGUUGCAUAAUACCCUUCGGCGGGCUGA
This 1064-nucleotide ribosomal RNA is filed under the name fungal endophyte. Its description in RNAcentral is "eukaryotic LSU rRNA". The stretch from base 486 to 1064 matches the Rfam family "Eukaryotic large subunit ribosomal RNA", at positions 1 to 591 of the family's 3401-position model. Lineage: Eukaryota; Fungi. The record is from RNAcentral.